GAUUAUAACUUUAUCAUGUCCAUGUGCAGAGCUGUCCAACAACUUAAUUAAUGAGUGUGAACGCGAGAAAAGAAAGUUUUUAUACAGUUAUUUUAUAAAUAAUAUUAAGAAAUAUCUUUAGCCCAUCUAUUAUAUAUAAUUCCUGACGUUUUAAUAUCUUAUCCUCGCGCACCUUCGUCUCGCCGAUCAUGUCACCAACAACACUUCACUAUUUUUCUUCUUUCUUCCUUCUUUUCAUAAUUCUCUCGCACCACUCCAACGCUGACGUUGGCACCUCUUCCCGUUACUCCCCUCCAUAUUUACGUAAGUACCUUCAUCACCAAAAAUAUAUAUAUGUAAAUAUCUCAAACUAUAAACUCAUCAAUUAAUUCUUAAUUAUAUAUCUAUCAUAUUAUAUAGCCUCGGGGUGUUACGGCAACGAAGCCACGCAGUUUCCGUCGAGUAAUCUUUUUGCGGCGGCCGGAGAUGGAAUCUGGGACAAUGGAGCGGCGUGUGGGAGGCAGUACCUUGUGAGAUGUAUAAGUGCAGAGGAACCUAUGACUUGCAUUCCCGACCAGAGUAUUCAGAUUAAGAUUGUUGAUUACGCGGCAUCUGCGGUGUCGCCGCCCUCCACCGCCGGCACAACCAU
RNAcentral lists this long non-coding RNA (628 nucleotides) under Vigna radiata. RNAcentral's name for it is "long non-coding RNA (VRAD_LNC007420)". Lineage: Eukaryota; Viridiplantae; Streptophyta; Magnoliopsida; Fabales; Fabaceae. The record is from RNAcentral.